RNAcentral lists this long non-coding RNA (5074 nucleotides) under Pomacea canaliculata. RNAcentral describes it as "uncharacterized LOC112565354". Lineage: Eukaryota; Metazoa; Mollusca; Gastropoda; Architaenioglossa; Ampullariidae. The record is from RNAcentral.
UCCGAGACUCUCAGACUUUGGUCCUCCUUAGGGCCCGGCUAUGAAGCUUUCAAGAAGUUCAGUGUCACUGGUUGCUUGGAAACAAAAACUUGCGGUAUGUUUGAACAUCAUCAAGCUGGAGUUGGUAGUUGUAGGGUAACGACAAGAAGGAUAAACUUCAGGGAUCAGGAAGUGACCUCGGCUGACCUUUGCAUUACGUAAGAGUAUGAGGAAUGGGUUCUAAUAACGACAGUGAAACUUGCCGUUGCAUAAGGUUUGAGAAAUGAUCCCCUUAAUGGACCCAAUUAAAACCUCAACGACCUCAGAGUAUUCAGCGUCGUGUUUUGGUCUCCGGGAAAUAAAAACAAUUUUGUUUCGUUAAACAAAGGCAGUUGUGAAAGUUGAAGCACUCAGAUGUGGACUUAGGUCUCUCUCUCUUCCUAUUAUCAUCGUCGUUUGUUUUUUCUCUUUUUUUCUCUCUUUCUCUCUCUUUCUCUGUGUUUGUUUUCUGCGCUAUCGAGUUGGUAUUCAUCCAUCUGGCUGAUCUGGCUGACUAGUUAAUUAGCUGGCGGAGAAAAAGGCGGGUGUGAACUAGAAACAAAUAUUUUAUACUAUUCCAAACUCUGCUUCACUCCUACCCAUCUGCAGCCACUCUGAGAGAAUUCGUUCAUGAGCUCUCCAUCCAAAAUGGCCGCACACACGUGGAGUUCCUCAAGAACUCCCAUAUCGAACCCCUUUCAAAUCGUUUGAUGACUCUCUACUGUUGCUGGGAACCUGGGAGUCCUCAGCCAGAGAUAGUGCAUGUCCCUUUUGACUCGCGAGGUUAGUGAGUGCCUCCUUGUCCGCUCACACACUCACUCCUGCUCUUGGAUUUGUGAGGCAGCAAAGCAAUGGCUGUAGUGCCAGCCAUAAACCAAGUCCACUUUAAUCCCAGCAGCCGUCCUGCUCCACAACGCAUGCGCUCGAAAUGUCUUUCGUUUUGUCCAAUGAGGUGCGCCGGCCCCCGAGUUCCGUCUUUCUCUUUGCGCCGUAAACACCUUGACUUCAGGGUUAUUAAAAAAAAGGAGAGAAAAGAAAUGAAAUUACGAAAACAGCGCAAAAGUUCAGCUCCUGGUCAGGGAGAAAGUACAAAGUGCUGCACUCUCGGGUUCCCUGAGCGGGUUUGGAUGCAGGGUCCGUGGCUGGCCAUUUGGUGAUCGCCUUUUUUUGCCAGCGAAGUUAGAAAGGGAUCGUGAGAAGGUAUUCAGUUGAAGUCUUAGGAUCCUAAUAAAACAGACCGCCCGCUGCUUCCACACCCUGGCGACACCUUCCUACAGCUGCCCUGGCCUCACGGCCUCCCUGUGGCGAUCGCUUUGCAUAUCCGUGCAGAAAAGAAUAGUCUACCGGGUAGCUGGGUAUUUUCUGUCCGCAGAACACUCCAGCAGGUACGACAAUCGUACUUGUGGUGUCCUCCCCAGCAUGAUCUUACACUUGCCUCCACUUCAUUCACCCGUAACAAGAUAUUGGGGCACCACUCGUCGUAGUCUUUAACCUACUUCUGAUCUUCAUGCGAUGCUUUGGAGUGUCUAUCGUAUAAAAUCCCUCGGGAAUUUAAUAUCUUUGCGCUGUAUGAGUUUUUUUCUUUGUUUUUGUUUUUUUUUUUUUUUUUUUUGGUCUCUCAUAUAUUUAUGGAACCCCGGUAAUGGGAAAAUGAGUGCGAGGAAAAAUGUUUGCUUUUUUGUUUUUAUUUAUUUUAUUGCAUGCUUUCCGGAUUUCUUUUCAGUCCCAAACAGCUAGCAGUCGGAUUGAUAAUGGGUGAUGUGUGUAUGAGGUGUAUACAGGAAGAGGAGGGAUAGUGAUUAUCAAGGGCAGAAAAAAACCCAGAGAUUUAUUUUCUGUUGAAAAUGGAAACAGAAAGAUAAUUCAUUCAUCUAGAUAAAUUUUUCAUGGUGCUUCUAGCAGAUAGAAAUAUUCCAUGUCCUCCCUGCAACUCUCUCAAUUAGAGGACUAAACUAUGGGGAGACACACUUUACCAUCCGCAAAACCACGAGUUGCAUUAACAGCAGAAAACACUGUCCUUGUUUCAUCCUGUCUAGUGAACAGGAUCUACAUCACUUGGAAAAUAGACAUUUAAAGCUCGUGCAAGGGCCUCAGAUGAGGUAGAGCAGGAAUGUAAAGCCGGGUUUGGUGUAGAAAACACUUUGCAGAGGUGGGUGGAGGCACAGGUGGAGCUUGUGUAGGAUGGAUGUGGCGGGGAGGUAGGCUGAUGAGCGAGGAUGUGGCGACAAGGUGAAAGCCAUGUCCUAUUUGCCCCCAUCUCUCAUCCAGGGCUCAUGUGGGAGGGUUUGAACUUUGACCCUGGUUGCUGAAGACCGCCCACUGCGAACAGCGUGCCUAAGCAGUUUCUGUUUCAUUUGUGCGUAAAAUAAGAAAAAGGAAAUUAGUCGAGUGUUGGUGGAACUGAUGUUAUCAAUGGAACUUGUUGACAGUUUCAAUCUAUCAGUAAAUAAAUAAAUAAAAAUAAACAUAAUUCAGUACUCUCACUUUGAAUUCGAGAGCCCAUGAUCCAGAUUCACAUCAUGUCGUGAUGCACUAUGGAAGGGUACCCAGCGCUCAGUUGACAUCCAUGCAUGAUGUGGAUUGUUGGCUGCCUCGCGUCACCCGUGUACCCAGAGACGUGCCCGCGACUUGCUACCCCGCUGUCAACCACCACCAGUUGCUCUGCCCUCAGCAUGCUGACGCUGCAUCGACCGAAGCCACGGGGGCAAGCAAGGCACCUUGGCGAGGGUUAACGGGGUACCGACAUGGCAGGUCACGUACCCUUUUCUCCCUCUCCCACCCGCUACCCCAAGCCCCACUACCCCAGCGUCUCGCGGGGGCUGCACGUGCGGGGCGCGUGGCGGACGUGAGGCGAGUGCCCCGCGCGGCACCGACGGCGAACUUCCUUUACUGGGGCUGGCGGCAGCACCAGUCCGGCCGCGCGGCCUCCUCGCGGGCUGGGCAGCGAAAUGCGAGAAAGAAGAAGGAAACACAAGACGGCUGAAUUAAACACUAACCCGUCCCACAACCCACUCACCCCUGCCCUCCCCUCCUACCCCCUCUCCCCGCUCCUGGGUCUUUGUCCUAGCCUCGCUCCCGUUCGACGAACGUUAGGGGGACCUCCAAGACUAUUCUGCUAAAAGGAAACAGUUUGCGCAGUAACCGGAACCUCUUUUACGCCGAGUGGAAUCCCCGAGGGUUCCCAAGGCCAGGAGAUAGGACAGGUGAGAUAGCGGUGACGAAAGUCUCUAACCGCUUUUCCCCCUGUUGACGUCACUGGUCACGUGCGAGGGACGUCGCGACACAAGGGAGCAAGCAAACAAGGAGCGACCUAACUGGUGUUUUGAAAGUGUCUGCGGGAUCUGCGCGCGUUUAAAAGGGAGAGAAUGACGUCCACAAUGACAUGGCGGCUCUCGCUAGGCCUGUCCCUCCUCAGCCGCCAAAGCUCGAAGACUACCAGGCUUCCAGACUAAUCACCCGGCGGACACAUUAGCAUACAAAUAGCUUGCCAUGGCGUUCUCAACUUGACAUCACGUGACAAGGGUCAACGACAAACAGACUGGGUCGGCGCGUGCUCCAAGUGCUGCCUCCUCACACUUGACCAACAUCUAUGGUGGAAGAGGAGGAGACAAUGAGAGGGAAGGGGAUUAAUUUCCCUACCUUUCACAGUCCCCUUUCGUGUCGACGUGUCACACUCCACCGGCUCGCGCGUGCCACGCGCUGACAUGCGUUCUGACCACGUGACCACGGCUGACUGAACCCACAGCGGGCUGCUGCAUUGAUGACAAGACAACCACGGGUACUUUUUAGCUUCUAAACCCCAUCCCCUGGCGUCUGACCCCUUGACAGGGCUGGACGCCGACUCAGUAUCAACAUGGUCUUGUCACAGGUCACGUCCCCUGAAACGUCCACUGAGUUAGGAAUUAGAAUUUAAUUGCACGAGUAAACAUUGGAAACAAACACACGCCCACCCCGCUGGCGUGUGUCCUUUUUUUUCUUUGCUAAAGGGAGGCCACCGGAAGCUGAGAGCAACGGUAACUGUCGUCGGGUAGCUCCUGCAGCCGGGAUGGUGGUGGUGGUGGUGGAGAUGGGGAGGGGGAGCAUGACGACUGGUAGAGGUAAUGUUCGAGAACAAUAGUAAUCACUCUGAAAUAAAACCGUUGAGAGGCGGGAGGUGGUGGACAGGGUGACAUCUGUGGGCGAAAGCACCCUUCGCUUCUCAAUGACACACUUGUCCCGGGAGCGUGGCCUCUCUCCGGCUACCCCGCUACCCCGACUACCCCCAAGUCGCCCUUUUACGAUAGUUCGUCUCGCCGCCCGCCGGCGCACAAUCGGCGACUGGUCCCCCACACAAGUGCGUGGCCGCAGUUCAGAAAGAAACUAUGGUCAAAUGAGGAGAUAAGAGAUCCCGCAAUUAGUCGGCGUGCCGCACGAGUUCCUUUCCCCCCCGGGUGCCCAUUUUGUUUGACAUCACACGGGUCACCGGUCGUCAACUGAAGACAACACCUGAAAGGUGUGCAGGUAAUGUAUGCGCGGCCAGCGGCUUCCUUCUGAGUCAUGUGUCGGUGCUGAUCCCCAUCGUAAUAUGAGAAUGUAAUCCUGAUAUAAUUGCUUUUAUUUUCGGAUUCUUAAUUAAUUCUUUUUUAUUAUUUUAUGUUACACAUCUGUGAGUAAAUAUUGCGUGUAGCUCCAUGCAGCAAUAAGGUUCCCAACAUUUUAAUCUAGCGGUUGACCAAGUUUGGCAAAGUUGGGUGUGUACUUUGGUCAACAUGUGAUUUUUUAUUUUUUAUGUUUUUUUAAAUUUAUUUUUAUUUAUUUUAUUUUUUUGCCACACAUUUGUCAAUAUGUCACCUGCAUAUAUAAUGAGACUUAAGGACACUUCGCAGAUCCUUCCACCAGCCUCUUGAACCAGCAAGGUUACAGUCGACCUCAUGUAAUCUCACCUUUCAACACCAACUUCCGCUUUAAUGUCAUGCUCAUUUGUUUAGAAAAAAAGAAGGGGAAAAUAAUCCCAAAAAAUUUUGCCUUUACAAGAGAAUUGUGGACUGAGAGGCCAGAACGAUUUUUGUCCUGUCGA